Fukomys damarensis (Damara mole-rat) is the source of this 296-nucleotide long non-coding RNA. RefSeq lists it as uncharacterized. The transcript has 3 exons. NCBI's taxonomy places the organism in Eukaryota, Metazoa, Chordata, Mammalia, Rodentia, Bathyergidae. The record is from RefSeq and is a predicted model, not a curated record.
GCCCGAGAGCAGCCGUGUGUGAUUUAGGCAGAGCGGAGGCCGCAGCUCUUACUCCCGGAAAGUGUGGAGACAGAGGUGCAGACACCCCACGGGCUCCGCUUCGCGGCUCCUCAGCAGCUCUUCUCCUCAGCCGGAGUCCCUGCCUCAUGAAAGGCCGGGGAUGACAUCAGAGAUCAUCUGCUUGUGAAUAUGGAGAAAGAACCCAUCUGCACGCAAGGCUUUAACGUGACGUUGAUGGUCUCGCUUCAGAGACACAGGUUUUCUGGGAGCCGAACAGGCCCACGGGAGAUUGGCCC